GGAUGUGAGGAUGAUCUGGCUGCGACAUCUGACAUCUGUCACCCCAUUCAGGGUUGAUUCAGCUGAUUUGGCUGGCUAGGUGGGUGUCCCCUUCCUCCUCACCACAUCAUGUGUAUCCCUCCCGAAGCUCUACUCUGGGUCGAAGAGAAUGAACAUCCCUGAUAGAGGAGGACUGGUCUUCGGUGAAGGGUCUACAAGUUGCUGCGCUUCCUUGCUAGAACUUCCAAACAACCUCUCAAGAAUAGAAAAAGAUAUAAGCUGGGCGCGGUGGCUCAAGCCUGUAAUCCCAGCACUUUGGGAGGCCGAGGCGGGUGGAUCACAAG
Molecule: small nuclear RNA, 323 nt
Filed under: Saimiri boliviensis boliviensis (Bolivian squirrel monkey)
Lineage: Eukaryota; Metazoa; Chordata; Mammalia; Primates; Cebidae
Description: 7SK RNA (ENSSBOG00000007537.1)
Rfam family: 7SK RNA
About the family: 7SK was discovered as an abundant small nuclear RNA in the mid-70s but a possible function has only recently been suggested. Two independent studies have found that 7SK RNA binds the CDK9/cyclin T complex (known as elongation factor P-TEFb).
Source: Rfam by way of RNAcentral